Carassius carassius (crucian carp) is the source of this 249-nucleotide long non-coding RNA. RefSeq lists it as uncharacterized. Lineage: Eukaryota; Metazoa; Chordata; Actinopteri; Cypriniformes; Cyprinidae. The transcript is spliced from 3 exons. The record is from RefSeq and is a predicted model, not a curated record.
UUCUUGGCAUGUGGUGGCGUUGUUAUUUAUAUUUCAGGAGGUUGAAAUGAUGUCAAAUAUACAAGAAUCCACUGUAGUGUUAAAAGCUUCUGCUCAUAUCGCAUCUUACAGUUCUUGAUAACAACUGUAAACACAUGAAGUGGCCAUGGCAUUUUUAUUGGAAAAGGCACUUCAUUUUGCCCAUAUGGGGAAAUGUUUUGUGACUUCAGAAGAGAGACUGGGUGGGCAGUCCAUCUGCAAGCAUGACAG